Molecule: long non-coding RNA, 251 nt
Organism: Physella acuta
Lineage: Eukaryota; Metazoa; Mollusca; Gastropoda; Physidae
Source: RefSeq, a predicted model, not a curated record
ACUAUGAGUGUGUGUUUGGCCAUCCAGGUUUCAUAACUACAACUGAUGUUCAAUUACAAGGGAUAUUAAUCAGUCUCUGUGGACUAUACACUGUGCCUAGUUUCAUCCUCAGAGACUGAUGUGUAAGCUUAAAGUAAAGACAUCAAAUCAAAGUAUCAGCUAUCAAGAGGAAGAACAUUCAAAAUCAUAUUGUGAUACACAAAUCAAGCAAGUCUAUGACCAGCAUUAUGAUACAUGCCAAGAAAAAGCUG